CCUACGGGUGGCAGCAGUGGGGGAUAUUGCACAAUGGGGGGAACCCUGAUGCAGCGACGCCGCGUGAGCGAUGGAGUACUUCGGUAUGUAAAGCUCUGGCAGCAGGGAGGAAAAUGACGGUACCUGACCAAGAAGCCCCGGCGAAAUACGUACCAGCAGCCGCGGUAAGACGUAUGGGGCAAGCGUUAUCCGGCGUUACUGGGUUUAAAGGGGGCGUAGGCGGCAGGGGAAGCCUGAUGUGAGAGCCCGGGGCUCAACCCCGGGACUGCAUUGGGAACUGCACCGAUGGAGUGCCGGGGGGGCAGGCGGAAUUCAUAGUGUAGCGGUGAAAUGCGUAGAUAUUAGGAGGAACACCAGUGGCGAAGGAGGCUUGCUGGACGGUGACUGACGCUGAGGCUCGAAAGCGUGGGGAGCAAACAGGAUUAGAUACCCCAGUAGUC
This 440-nucleotide ribosomal RNA is filed under the name uncultured bacterium. RNAcentral describes it as "partial 16S ribosomal RNA". It matches the Rfam family "Bacterial small subunit ribosomal RNA", at positions 338 to 795 of the family's 1533-position model. The record is from RNAcentral.